UACGAGGGGGGCAAGCGUUGUUCGGAAUUAUUGGGCGUAAAGGGUGCGUAGGCGGUUUUGUAAGUCUUGUGUGAAAUCUUCAGGCUCAACUUGAAGACUGCACGAGAAACUGCAGGGCUUGAGUGUGGGAGAGGUGAGUGGAAUUCCUGGUGUAGCGGUGAAAUGCGUAGAUAUCAGGAGGAACACCUGUGGCGAAAGCGGCUCACUGGACCAUAACUGACGCUGAUGCACGAAAGCUAGGGGAGCAAACAGG
RNAcentral lists this ribosomal RNA (253 nucleotides) under uncultured bacterium. Its description in RNAcentral is "partial 16S ribosomal RNA". It matches the Rfam family "Bacterial small subunit ribosomal RNA", at positions 524 to 776 of the family's 1533-position model. The record is from RNAcentral.